GUUAUCAUCUAUGUCACAAUCUAGAGGUUGAACAGCUUUCUCACUGUCCAAAUUCUUAGGUGAGUCUUCCGAAUUAAGUCCUGUUUCAGGUAUACUGUAAGAGAGGGCAAUGAGCGACUCCCGAGUCAUGUCCUCAGAAAUCUCCUUACCAGGUUCUUUCUUCUCCAUAAAUUGACAAUCUUUUUCCAGCAUGUCAUAAUGAUGAAACAAAUAGAAAAGAUUCUAGUUAAAGGCUAUAGCCAUAUAAACCCAUCCUCAGUACAAAUAAAAUUCAAAAUUCAUUGUUGCACAGCCGCUAUUAGCUUACUAUCAACUGGAAAUUUAGUCCCUUAAAUUGCAUCAACAAAUCAAUUGACUUUUAAUGGCAAAAAAAGACUCAGCUGACUGAGGCACGCUCUUAGAAAGCAGAACCUUCCAGCUUGUACUUUUAAUUUUUCUUAUGCUACCAUAGACCAUUCAAAUUGACUUUUCUAUGGAGAUCCUAAUAGACAUUCUCUUGAAGACUCACCAAAACUAGAUAAUUGUUUUAGGAGGAGAUUCAUGAUUUAUAUUGGGAAAAGUUCUCGUAAUCGAUUUUAUUUCUUUCGCAUAAUUACUAGUUUAAGUUUGAAAACUUCUCUUUUAUUAGUUUGGUAGCUUUACUCAUUCAUAAGGAAGACAGGGGUGUUUUGUAUUAGACAGACUAUUGAAUUGAAUUAUAGAAAUUAAUCAAAUUAUUGAAAUUUCCUCACUCAAAUUUUCUUCUUCCCUCUUCUUCUCCCUUGUUCUCUCUCCCGCUCAUUCUCUCCCUUCUUCUCUAUAUUCUUAAUUAACAAGUCUUAUCCAAGAAAUAGCAAUGGAUAAAAAAAAAAAAUAGGAGGAAUGUCAGGUAUGUUGUCCGCAUAACCCAUUCAAUUUCAAAUUCCAGCAGAAGGCAAACUCCUCAUCUCAAGUAAAACAUGCAAUAUAGAAAAAAUUAACUAACAAACAGCCUACCAACAGGAGCAGAAGACAAAAUUGUUUAUAAAGCACAUAAAAUACUAUGGGUGAUCCUUGAAAGAGUCCUCAUAAAACUGAAGUCUUUAUAUAGCCCUUGUUUGAUGUGGAUUAAAAUCAAUUUUUCAGUAGAUUUUGAUAAAUAGUUGAAAAUUUGUGGAUCCUAUAAAAUUUGUGGUUAAAAUUAAUUGUUGAAUUUGACUUGGAUUAAUCUCCACCAAGCAGGAGCAUAGUAUUGCACAAGACUGCUCAAAGCAGCAGCUUCAGUACCUCCACUUUCAGGAGAACAUCAUUAAGCUUUGUCUAUCUAAAAUAGAGCAAUUAUCUCGCGUAGUUAGGAAAUAUCAUUCAUUAUUAGCCCUCUAGAGCCUAAUAGCAAUGAUAAAUUGGAAUUAGUAAUGCAUUGUGAAGAUUUAACAAUGUUCUUAUCUCGCAUAGCAAAUACUCCCUCCAUCCAUAAGGAUAGGCUUGUUCUCAUUUUCCCAAAGAUUAAGAAAAUGUAAUUAAUAUAGUUGAAAAUAUAAUUUUUUCUCAUAUUUUUUCCUAAUAUACCACUAGAUUAAAUAAUUUUUUUAAAUAUGAGUUGCUCAUAUUUGUUGAUAACAAGACCAUUAAAUAGGGGUAUGUUAAAAAACUAAAAAAUCAAUUAUACUACGAACAAGGAAAGUAGCAUAUAAUUUGAAACAAGCCAAAAAGGAAAGCAAGCCUAUCUUUAUGGGACAGAGGCAGUAGAACAGCAGAGAGCAAAAAAUGACAUUCCUGAAUUAUUCUAGACGUCAAAGGUUUUAUAAAUAAGAAAAUUCAAAUGAACUUCAAAACCAUUCUGGAUUUAUUUCAUUUGCUUUUCCAUUCAAAACUUGUAACAGAGUAUUUAGAUGACUUCUUUGAGCGUCCAAACGACAAACCUAAUAUAUACCUCAAGUAAUUUAAAGUUAUAAAAUUCAAUGUCUGCUCACUAACAAAUUCAAAUCAAUCUGCCACUUCUAUCAAUAGUAUGGUUAAUUGAAUCCAAAGGUUUACCUUUACCAAACAUCNNNNNNNNNNNNNNNNNNNNNNNNNNNNNNNNNNNNNNNNNNNNNNNNNNNNNNNNNNNNNNNNNNNNNNNNNNNNNNNNNNNNNNAAAUUGACAACUUGGAGGAAAUAAAUAUUUACCCUACUUGCCCUAUUUCCAUUGAAGAGUUGAAAAGAAAAUAAAGGAGUAUGAUCCCCUCUCCACGAGAGAGAGAGAGAGGAAGGGAUUCAAAAAUUUUAUUCUUUUCGUAAAAUCAAAGGGGAGCUCCAAUGCAAUUCUUUAUUUUGCCAAAAUGACAAGUUAUAAGUGGAUCAUACACGACAUAUAUAAAACUAGUGAAUUUAUACAAAUAGAUUAACAUAUGGCACAUAUUCAUGAGCAGCCACACAUAUUGCUCGGGUCUACACAAGCCCACAAGAAACACACAUGAACAUAUAUGAUCUUGCCAAAGAUUACACUGUUUGUAAUAUAUUAGGAAUAGUGUAAAUAUGAAGUGUUGAGGCAUACGAUAACUUUGUCUGUUGUAGAAGGCACUAUUGGCUGUCUCAAGGAGAUUGUACAGAAACAUCAUAAUGAAUUAGUAAUGAGAAUUGGUUCCAGAGAUCUCUAAGGCUCUCUCAGCACAAUGAGUUAGCUAUUUGAAUAUACAGAUUGCAUCCAGGAUAUUAUUGUUCUCAUUUUUUUAACAAAAUACUGCAUAAUUGGGAAUGCAUUUGGAAAUAUAACAUGGUGUCAUGGAAAUGUGUAAAUUGUAAAAUUAACAUGAUCCUAUGCCAAUACUUCUCUAUAUCAACCCAAGAAGGAUGUUUUUGUCUGAAACAAAAGGUCACAUAGGUUACUUGUUUCUCUCUUCUUCAUUCUUCAUUUUUCCAUUAAUCUAGUGAGGGAUUGACAAAUGCUUAACAUAUUUUACAUUUCUGUUCUUUGAAAUGCUAUCUUCUUCAUCCUUCUCCUCACCUUAACAAAGAUUGUCAAAUACAAAUCAACAUUCUUGUUUGGUCUUUGUUCCACUUUCUUUACAUUGUUUCUUUCAUAUUUUGGGAAAGAUUAUCAACUCCUUUUCUCUGAUACCUUUUUGUUUACUACACGGAUGUCCUAAUAGAGAGCUUAUGAAAAAAGUAUCCAUAUAACAAUUUCAGAUAAGUCUGGUAAUUCUGAAUGCUAUGGGUCGUGUGGCCAGUCCAACUCUCAAAGCACGCACCACGGUCGACAAAGAUGGCACAACUGAUUUACAGAGGUGAGCUUUGAGUUGGGCCUCGAAGAGGGCUACGACCGAGGUAACAUCCCAACCCACUCACAUAUCGAAAUGUUAUUUGCCUUGCUUGAAGGAUCAGCAAACAAAAGACCUGGCAAGUUUGCGAAAACUUGCCAAGUCAGUGCUACCACGCAAGGUACGGCUUUGGUUUUAUAAAAGGAGUACGAACCCACCAAAGACAGAGGAGGACACGCAAGCUCUACUAUCUUUCUCUAGCUUUCUCACCCUCUGCUCACCAGCCACCCCCUUUUCUCUGUACAGAACCACCACCUAAACCUGCAAUCUUCAUUGGAACACACCAGCAACCACCAUAAAACGUAAACCUGAAAAUUUUAUUCCUAUCAUCUGGCAUAACGUUCAUUCCAGUUAAGUAGAAUUUAUCUUCUUUGUGGCAGAGCAUGAACUGGUCUCAUCCCAAAAUGCAAUUCAUGCUACAACUAUUCAUUCAAUAAUAGCACAUCAUAAGUAUUCAUUCAAUAAUAGCCUAAAACGAAGGGCUAUUAAUUUAAACCUUGGAAAGAAGACCUUCAAACCGCAAGUUGCAACACGAAAGACAGAAAAUCUCGAAGCAAGUUCAUUUUAAUAAAAAUUCGUGAAAUAACUGCAAAAGCCCCGAUCCGAAGCCAAAAAAAAUUUUAAAAACGCAAAACGAUAAUUUCCAAAAGAAGAAACAGAGCAUCCAACAAACAUGAAUAUAAAAGAAAACAAAAACAAUACAAUAAAAAAAUAUAAAUUAAGAUAGAUCUUACGUGACAUGUGAUCCGAGCUCGAGAAAAAAAACCAAGUCAGUCAAAAGUCAAAAAGAGAAAUCAAUUCCAAAAAUUGAUCUAGAAAAUAGAUUAUUUUUAUGUUCGUUUGGUGAAUAAGAGAUCAUAUUGAAAAAUAAUUUCCCAAAAAUUACCUGAAUUACAGGUUUAUGCUGUUCUUGGUUGAUCGGAUAAUAACGGUGGGGUGAGUCAACGGAUUUUCCAAGCCUUUGCUCACUCUGACAAUGGGGUCCCAAAUGUUUUAUUUAUUGCAUACUGACUCCUGAUUUAUCGCAUAGAUAUUCAUCCGAGGAAAUGAAAAUUUUAUGACUGGCUCUCCAUUGUGCGAUAAUGUCGUGUAUUUGAAUUUGUGGAACCGAUUAUGCCUUUUAAACUCCUUAAAAUUGCAGAAGAUAAUAUUAAUAUUCUCUUAGAUAAUUUCCCGAUUAUAUGAG
RNAcentral lists this long non-coding RNA (4443 nucleotides) under Olea europaea (common olive). RNAcentral describes it as "long non-coding RNA (OEUR_LNC008732)". Lineage: Eukaryota; Viridiplantae; Streptophyta; Magnoliopsida; Lamiales; Oleaceae. The record is from RNAcentral.